UACGAGUGCCCCAAGUGUUAUCCGGCAUUAUUGGGCGUAAAGGGUGUGUAGGUGGUCCUGUUAGUCUCCUGUCAAAUUCUUCGGCUUAACCGGGGGUCCGCAGGGGAAACGGCAGAACUAGAGGAUGAGAGAGGUAUAGGGAACUCAUGGUGUAGGGGUGAAAGCCGUUGAUAUCAUGGGGAACACCAAAAGCGAAGGCACUAUACUGGCGCAUUCCUGACACUGAAACACGACAGCGUGGGUAGCGAAUGGG
Molecule: ribosomal RNA, 253 nt
Filed under: uncultured bacterium
Lineage: Bacteria
Description: partial 16S ribosomal RNA
Rfam family: Bacterial small subunit ribosomal RNA
Source: RNAcentral